RNAcentral lists this ribosomal RNA (863 nucleotides) under uncultured bacterium. RNAcentral describes it as "bacterial SSU rRNA". It matches the Rfam family "Bacterial small subunit ribosomal RNA", at positions 26 to 898 of the family's 1533-position model. The record is from RNAcentral.
AGGAUGAACGCUGGCGGCGUGCCUAAUACAUGCAAGUCGAACGAGGUGCUUUUGUAGCAAUACGAAAGUAUCCUAGUGGCGAACGGGUGAGUAACACGUUGGUGACCUGCCCCAAAGUGUGGGAUAACAGUCCGAAAGGAUUGCUAAUACCGCAUGUGGUCUUCGGGUUUAGAAACCGAUGACUAAAGCAGUAAUGCGCUUUGGGAGGGACCUGCGUCCCAUCAGCUAGUUGGUGAGGUAACGGCCCACCAAGGCUACGACGGGUAGGGGACCUGAGAGGGUGGCCCCCCACAAUGGAACUGAAACACGGUCCAUACACCGACGGGUGGCAGCAGUAGGGAAUAUUGCUCAAUGGGCGAAAGCCUGAAGCAGCAACGCCGCGUGUGCGAAGAAGGCCUUCGGGUCGUAAAGCACUUUUCUGAGAGAUGAGAAAGGACAGUAUCUCAGGAAUAAGUCUCGGCUAACUACGUGCCAGCAGCCGCGGUAAAACGUAGGAGGCAAGCGUUAUCCGGAUUCACUGGGCGUAAUGCGCGUGCAGGCGGUUCGGUAAGUUGGGCGUGAAAUCUCCUGGCUUAACUAGGAGAGGUCGUUCAAUACUACCGGACUAGAGAAUGGUAGAGGAAGAUGGAAUUCCCGGUGUAGUGGUGAAAUGCGUAGAUAUCGGGAGGAACACCAGUGGCGAAAGCGAUCUUCUGGACCAUUUCUGACGCUCAUACGCGAAAGCUAGGGUAGUAAACGGGAUUAGAGACCCCGGUAAUCCUAGCCGUAAACGAUGUAAACUUGGCGUCGGUGGCUUAAACUCCAUCGGUGCCGCAGCAAACGCGAUAAGUUUACCGCCUGGGGACUACGAUCGCAAGAUUAAA